ACAGAGGGUGCUAGCGUUAAUCGGAUUUACUGGGCGUAAAGCGUGCGUAGGCGGCUUUUUAAGUCGGAUGUGAAAUCCCCGAGCUUAACUUGGGAAUUGCAUUCGAUACUGGGAAGCUAGAGUCUCGUAGAGGGGGGUAGAAUUCCAGGUGUAGCGGUGAAAUGCGUAGAGAUCUGGAUGAAUACCGGUGGCGAAGGCAAUCCCCUGGACCUGUACUGACGCUCAUGCACGAAAGCGUGGGGAUCAAACAG
RNAcentral lists this ribosomal RNA (251 nucleotides) under uncultured bacterium. Its description in RNAcentral is "partial 16S ribosomal RNA". It matches the Rfam family "Bacterial small subunit ribosomal RNA", at positions 525 to 775 of the family's 1533-position model. The record is from RNAcentral.